This 414-nucleotide unclassified non-coding RNA is filed under the name Hevea brasiliensis (rubber tree). Lineage: Eukaryota; Viridiplantae; Streptophyta; Magnoliopsida; Malpighiales; Euphorbiaceae. The record is from RNAcentral.
AGAAAUUGUGAUCGAUAAAGAGAGAGUUCUAGCUGAUGUUGGAGGCGGGGUCCACUGCGUAGGCAUUGGACGAUCAGAGAUGUUAAAUGCAGCGAGUAAUAUCGUAGGGAAUUUUCAUCAGCAGAAUCUAUGGGUGGAGUUUGAUUUAGCCAAUCGUAGAGUGGGAUUGGGUAAGGCCGAUUGUAGCAGAUCGGCGUAAGAAGCUCCAAAUUAAAUUUAAUAUAAAAGACUGUACCAAAAAAAAAAUUUCAGACGCGUUUGUGGUGGUAGAGAAGUAAUCCAACCACCCAUAUGAAACUAACAUGUUAGUGAUAGAGUGUAAGUUCACGGGAAUGGUAAUAGAUGUGUUGUAAGUUUACAGAUUAGUGUAAAAAUAAUCUUGUUUGGUUGUAUGUACGAAACUAUCCCUGGCGA